Transfer RNA from Felis catus (domestic cat), 85 nucleotides. It matches the Rfam family "tRNA". From Rfam's summary of the family: Transfer RNA (tRNA) molecules are approximately 80 nucleotides in length. Their secondary structure includes four short double-helical elements and three loops (D, anti-codon, and T loops). NCBI's taxonomy places the organism in Eukaryota, Metazoa, Chordata, Mammalia, Carnivora, Felidae. The record is from Rfam.
GCCUGGGUGGCUCAGUAGGUUGAGCGUCUGACUUCAGCUCAGGUCAUGAUCUCACAUUCUGUGAGUUUGAGCCCCAUUUCAGGCU